AUGUUAUUAAAAACGAGUUUUGCCAGAGGACGCUGACAUCAUAGCAGACGAUCAUCCGAUAGUACGUCAUCGAUGGCGGACCAAUGGUAGAAGAAAUUGGCGCUGGCAGAAUGUUCGUCUGCUGAGAAAUAUUGUCAAGAUGACAGUUGUAGAAAACGGUUCGUCUCUAGGCGUUAGUGAGGAAAUAAACGAUUGCAAAGUGGUAGUGACGUUAUUGAAUGGUAAAAAACACGAAGAAUAUAACAAAAUAAGAAAAAGUAAAACUAGAAUCAAAUAUCGGAGUUGGGUUAUUGUAUUUGCAGCUUUUGUUUCGUUUUCCAUCAAAGCUGGAUUGCUUUAUACUUUUAGUAUAUAUUAUGUUCAAUUUCUGUUAACUUUUCAAGAAUCUAGGUCUCAUACUGCUUGGAUCGGUUCAUUGUUCACCUGUCUUUUGCAGUUAACAGGGCCAUUUUCUGGCUUAAUGAUAAAAGCCUUUGGAUGUAGAAUCACUAUCAUGUUAGGUGGAUUAGGAACUGCAUUUGGAUAUAUUAUUAGUUCAUUUGCUAUCAAUGUUAAUUAUUUACUUUUCUCACUUGGAAUAUUAACAGCAAUCUUUUUAAAUUUUGUCUACACUGGAUUUGCAAUUGCACUUGCUGUACAUUGUAAGAAGUUUCAUAGUUUGGCAACAGGAAUAGCAUUUUCAGGAAUUGGAUUUGGUAUUUUUGUAUUCUCACCUCUUCUAGAACUUGCAGUAGAUUAUUAUGGAUGGAGGGGAUCCAUGUUUAUUCAAGCAGGUAUGGCUCUUAACUUCUGUGUCUGUGGUGCUUUUGUUUCAAGCAAAGAACUACCAAACUAUAGGGAAACCUAUGUAUCACAAAAUCAAAAAGAUAUGACUACAAAGAAUUUUAAGAAUAACAAUGUGAAUAAAGGAAAUGUCAGUUUUAAUGGACAUUCUAAAUAUUCUAAAUUUAUAUCAUUUUUUACAGAUUGUACAUUUAUAUGCUUUAUUUUAUCAAACUCUAUAUGGGUUAUGGGUACUUCUACAAUAUUUGUGACUUAUAAAGAUUUAGCAAAUCUUUUUGGCUAUGGUGAUAAAUUUUCUAUAAUAAUAUCAUCGAUGGGAAUUGCAGAUAUAAUUGGAAGACUUACUGUAGGAGUUGUCUUGUCCAAAUGCAAAAACUAUGUGAUUACAUAUUCAGCAAUAAUACUCUUUUUUUCUGGCUUGGCAUUGUGUCUUCACAUUACUAUUUCAUCUUUUGAAAUGUUUCUUGGACUUGCUAUUAUGUUUUCUUUUUUCUAUGCUAAACAGUGUGUUAUUUGUGUUGUGGCUCCAGCUACAAUGUAUGGGGCUGAAAACCUUACAUUAACUUUUGGAGUUCUUUUAUUUUUUGGUGGUUGUACAACAUUAUUUGGUCCACCUCUAGGAGCUAUAUUUUAUUAUAUAUUAUACCAAUAAAAUGAUUUUCUGUAAAGAAGAUUGACUUGUUUGCUAUGUGCAUGUAAAAGUAAAUUCCCAAUUAGUCCAAAAUUUAUCAAAUCAAGUCAAAAAUUAAAUCAUAACUUUUUAACGAUCUUUUAAAUUUUACUAAUUGGAUGGCUUAUUGAUAUGACACAAGAUCGUUCAGCAAUUCUGUGGUU
This 1617-nucleotide unclassified non-coding RNA is filed under the name Centruroides sculpturatus (bark scorpion). RNAcentral describes it as "monocarboxylate transporter 12-like, transcript variant X2". The record is from RNAcentral. Lineage: Eukaryota; Metazoa; Arthropoda; Arachnida; Scorpiones; Buthidae.